UACGGGGGGGGCAAGCGUUGUUCGGAAUUACUGGGCGUAAAGGGCUCGUAGGUGGCCAACUAAGUCAGACGUGAAAUCCCUCGGCUUAACCGGGGAACUGCGUCUGAUACUGGAUGGCUUGAGUUCGGGAGAGGGAUGCGGAAUUCCAGGUGUAGCGGUGAAAUGCGCAGAUAUCAGGAGGAACACCGGUGGCGAAGGCGGGUCUCUGGGCCGAUAAUGACGCUGAGGAGCGAAAGCGUGGGGAGCGAACAGG
This 253-nucleotide ribosomal RNA is filed under the name uncultured bacterium. RNAcentral's name for it is "partial 16S ribosomal RNA". It matches the Rfam family "Bacterial small subunit ribosomal RNA", at positions 524 to 776 of the family's 1533-position model. The record is from RNAcentral.